CAGUUCGGAUUGUAGUCUGCAACCCGACUACAUGAAGCUGGAAUCGCUAGUAAUCGCGGAUCAGAAUGCCGCGGUGAAUACGUUCCCGGGUCUUGUACACACCGCCCGUCACACCAUGGGAGUCGGAAAUGCCCGAAGUCUGUGACCCAACCGUAAGGAGGGAGCAGCCGAAGGCAGGUCGGAUGACUGGGGUGAAGUCGUAACAAGGUACC
Molecule: ribosomal RNA, 212 nt
Filed under: uncultured bacterium
Lineage: Bacteria
Description: partial 16S ribosomal RNA
Rfam family: Bacterial small subunit ribosomal RNA
Source: RNAcentral